GAGAGAUGCUUGCAGCACCAAAGACUGCUAAUCUUUGCACCCCCGGUUGGAAUCCGAGGAUCACUCG
Molecule: transfer RNA, 67 nt
Filed under: Laeops kitaharae
Lineage: Eukaryota; Metazoa; Chordata; Actinopteri; Pleuronectiformes; Bothidae
Description: tRNA-Ser
Source: RNAcentral